ACGUACACUCCUACGGGAGGCAGCAGUGGGGAAUAUUGGACAAUGGGCGCAAGCCUGAUCCAGCCAUGGCGCGUGAGUGAUGAAGGCCCUAGGGUUGUAAAGCUCUUUCACCGGUGAAGAUAAUGACGGUAACCGGAGAAGAAGCCCCGGCUAACUUCGUGCCAGCAGCCGCGGUAAUACGAAGGGGGCUAGCGUUGUUCGGAUUUACUGGGCGUAAAGCGCACGUAGGCGGACUAUUAAGUCAGGGGUGAAAUCCCGGGGCUCAACCCCGGAACUGCCUUUGAUACUGGUAGUCUUGAGUUCGAGAGAGGUGAGUGGAAUUCCGAGUGUAGAGGUGAAAUUCGUAGAUAUUCGGAGGAACACCAGUGGCGAAGGCGGCUCACUGGCUCGAUACUGACGCUGAGGUGCGAAAGCGUGGGGAGCAAACAGGAUUAGAUACCCUUGUAGUCCCAUGAU
This 456-nucleotide ribosomal RNA is filed under the name uncultured organism. Its description in RNAcentral is "partial 16S ribosomal RNA". It matches the Rfam family "Bacterial small subunit ribosomal RNA", at positions 329 to 801 of the family's 1533-position model. The record is from RNAcentral.